CCUACGGGAGACAGCAGUGAGGAAUAUUGGUCAAUGGGCGCGAGCCUGAACCAGCCAAGUAGCGUGAAGGAUGACUGCCCUACGGGUUGUAAACUUCUUUUCUCAGGGACGAAGCAAGUGACGGUACCUGAGGAAUAAGCCACGGCUAACUACGUGCCAGCAGCCGCGGUAAUACGUAGGUGGCAAGCGUUAUCCGGAUUUACUGGGUGUAAAGGGCGUGUAGGCGGGAAAGCAAGUCAGAUGUGAAAACCAUGGGCUCAACCUGUGGCCUGCAUUUGAAACUGUUUUUCUUGAGUACUGGAGAGGCAGACGGAAUUCCUAGUGUAGCGGUGAAAUGCGUAGAUAUUAGGAGGAACACCAGUUGCGAAGGCGGUCUGCUGGACAGCAACUGACGCUGAGGCGCGAAAGCGUGGGGAGCAAACAGGAUUAGAUACCCCUGUAGUC
Molecule: ribosomal RNA, 444 nt
Filed under: uncultured bacterium
Lineage: Bacteria
Description: partial 16S ribosomal RNA
Rfam family: Bacterial small subunit ribosomal RNA
Source: RNAcentral